Molecule: ribosomal RNA, 435 nt
Rfam family: Bacterial small subunit ribosomal RNA
ACGGGAGGCAGCAGUCGGGGAUAUUGCGCAAUGGAGGAAACUCUGACGCAGUGACGCCGCGUAUAGGAAGAAGGUUUUAGGAUUGUAAACUAUUUUAGACAGGGAAGAAACAAGACAGUACCUGUAGAAUAAGCUCCGGCUAACUACGUGCCAGCAGCCGCGGUAAUACGUAGGGGGCAAGCGUUAUCCGGAAUUAUUGGGUGUAAAGGGUGCGUAGACGGGAAUACAAGUUAGUUGUGAAAGCCCUCGGCUCAACUGAGGAACUGCAACUAAAACUAUAUUUCUUGAGUGCAGGAGAGGAAAGCGGAAUUCCUAGUGUAGCGGUGAAAUGCGUAGAUAUUAGGAGGAACACCAGUGGCGAAGGCGACUUUCUGGACCGUAACUGACGUUGGGGCACGAAAGUAUGGGGAGCAAACAGGAUUAGAUACCCUGGUA